GGGGCUGACUUGGAUUUCGACAGAUUUCUUGUCGCACAGAUAGCAUGCCAAGUGCUGCUUGUAAAACAGCAACAAAAAUAACUGUAAACAACGCAGACUACGCUCCAGCUUACGCUAAAGCUGCGUAAGUUAAUCUCCUUUUGGAGCUGGACUGAUUAGAAUUUCUAGCGUUUUAAUCACUCCAUAACCUUAAGCUAGACGCUUUUAAAAGGUGGUUCGCCUUUUAAACUAAGAAACAAGAACUCUUGAAACUACCUCAAGGUUUUAGAAAGUUGGACCAGAGCUAGUUUUAAGGCUAAAAAACCAACCAAUUUUCUAAGCAUUGUAGAAGUUUGUGUUUAGGGCAAGAUUUUUGGACUGGGGUUCGAUUCCCCACAGCUCCACCA
RNAcentral lists this transfer-messenger RNA (386 nucleotides) under Helicobacter pylori. Its description in RNAcentral is "Standard tmRNA". It matches the Rfam family "transfer-messenger RNA". Rfam says of the family: Bacterial tmRNA, also known as 10Sa RNA or SsrA, is named for its dual tRNA and mRNA-like properties. Its role is to liberate the mRNA from a stalled ribosome. Lineage: Bacteria; Pseudomonadati; Campylobacterota; Epsilonproteobacteria; Campylobacterales; Helicobacteraceae. The record is from RNAcentral.